GAUGAAUGCUGGCGGCGUGCCUAAUACAUGCAAGUCGAGCGAACAGACGAGGAGCUUGCUCCUCUGACGUUAGCGGCGGACGGGUGAGUAACACGUGGAUAACCUACCUAUAAGACUGGGAUAACUUCGGGAAACCGGAGCUAAUACCGGAUAAUAUAUUGAACCGCAUGGUUCAAUAGUGAAAGACGGUUUUGCUGUCACUUAUAGAUGGAUCCGCGCCGCAUUAGCUAGUUGGUAAGGUAACGGCUUACCAAGGCAACGAUGCGUAGCCGACCUGAGAGGGUGAUCGGCCACACUGGAACUGAGACACGGUCCAGACUCCUACGGGAGGCAGCAGUAGGGAAUCUUCCGCAAUGGGCGAAAGCCUGUCGGAGCAACGCCGCGUGAGUGAUGAAGGUCUUCGGAUCGUAAAACUCUGUUAUUAGGGAAGAACAAAUGUGUAAGUAACUAUGCACGUCUUGACGGUACCUAAUCAGAAAGCCACGGCUAACUACGUG
This 497-nucleotide ribosomal RNA is filed under the name uncultured bacterium. Its description in RNAcentral is "partial 16S ribosomal RNA". It matches the Rfam family "Bacterial small subunit ribosomal RNA", at positions 28 to 507 of the family's 1533-position model. The record is from RNAcentral.